Long non-coding RNA from Oncorhynchus keta (chum salmon), 275 nucleotides. RefSeq lists it as uncharacterized. The record is from RefSeq and is a predicted model, not a curated record. The transcript is spliced from 3 exons. Lineage: Eukaryota; Metazoa; Chordata; Actinopteri; Salmoniformes; Salmonidae.
UGGAGGUGGCACCAUCCCUACGAUGAAGCAUCGAGGUGGCACCAUCCCUACGAUGAAGCAUCGAGGUGGCACCAUUCCUACGGUGACGCAUGGAGGUGGCACCAUCCCUACGGUGAAGCAUGGAGGUGGCACCAUCCCUACGGUGAAGCAUGGAGGUGGCACCAUCCCUACGGUGAAGCAUGGAGGUGGCACCAUUCCUACGGUGAAGCAUGGAGGUGGCACCAUUCCUACGGUGAAGCAUGGAGGUGGCACCAUCCCUACGGUGAAGCAUGGAG